Molecule: long non-coding RNA, 5739 nt
Filed under: Brassica napus (rape)
Lineage: Eukaryota; Viridiplantae; Streptophyta; Magnoliopsida; Brassicales; Brassicaceae
Description: long non-coding RNA (BNAP_LNC024780)
Source: RNAcentral
CUGGAUGUAAAAUCCUUAUUGCUUAGUUUUUUUUACUGUAAAUUGUGACAGUUCUUCUAGUAAUGUUAUAUAAUGAAGGUUUUGAGUAUAAACUCGAUAAAAAUACAACAAAGUUGGAGUACCUAAAGGUACUUAUUUAAUUGAUUAGUGAUUAGGGACACAAAAAAAAUUUUAAAGUAGGAGAGGAAAAGUGGCUUUGGGUUUAGCUUAUCUACUUUGAUUGCUCCUCUUUUCUCCACUAUAUGGUUCACAUCCCAUUAAUAAAAAGAAAAAGUGAUCAUGAUAUCAGAACUUAGACCAAAAGAAGAAAUUGACUACAAAGGUCGUUUGCGUAUAUAUAUUAAGGAAGAUUCAGCAACAAGGAACAAAAAAAUCAUAUAAUACUAAGUCUGGUGUACAAAUAGCUAAUAAAUACUACAGGUGUACAAAUAGCUAAUAAAUUAAGUUAGGCAAGACCUACUCCCAAAGAAAGAGUUAGUUAGCCUCAGUUGAUUUCCAUCUAAACUACUACUUGACUUAACCCAUCCUCUGUUUCCAAAAGCCAAAAGCCUUCUUGGAUCAAAGAUUCUUGAUAGGCACUGAGAUUGGAUUGUUAAUUUUCCUCUGUUUCUGAUGUUAACUAAAGGAGAUGGAAUUUGCGGCUAACACGUCAUGAUUCCCUCUCUGUUUAGGGAGAUUAAAAAAAAAGAUUAUUGUGUUUAUCUUAUCUUGCAACUUGAUUCUUUGCUUUCUUAUGGACUACAGAAAAAUAAAGAAAAAGCUACGGUAAAACAUGACUCUAGCUUUUGUGUAGAUCAAUAAAAAUAUCAUCAGCGAGUAGAAACCAAUCAAACCUCAUGGAUUAUAACGAUCAAACGAAAAAAGAAUAGUCUGAGCUCUCCAGAAACCGCAUAAACCAAAGAAUAAUUUUAAAAGGAACAAAGAAGAGUCUCCCUCUAGUAAACGGAUGAACCCUAACAAAAAUCAUUCAAAAAGAAGCAAAAAGGAAAGGUAGAGUACACUCCAAGCAAACAAAAAGCAUUUGCCAGCAAAGAUAAGUAACAAAAGAAAGUUUGAUGGAUCCACCAAAUCUGAUUAAAGAAAGUGCUUAAAAGCAUAAAAAAACAGAGUUCGCUAAGACCGAGAGAUUAUCCAUCAGAUGCAAUCAUCCAAUCAUGAUCUUACACGAGACCCACAAAAAGGCACACGAAUUUACACCUUUUGAUUUUGUAUGAUGUCUUGAUUUUCUCACUAAUCCAAUGAUACAAUUUAGCUAAUGAUCAAAUCAGAUCACUAAUCUAAUAUUCAGAUUUGAUUAAUACACAUGGCCCGAUCCAAAGGGAUAACAAGAUGAAACAUUUGCUUUAGCUCCUAAACUCCCACUUCAUGAGUUUCAACGUAGAUGAUGUUUUGAAAGGAAUAUUUUGUUUCAAUUUACUUAAAGUUUUGAGGUUUUACGAUUAACUUUAAUUUUAUCGAAAAUUGUUCAACCAAUUAGAUUUUACAGUCUUUUUAUAAUUGGUUAAUGGAUUUUAAAAUUAUAUUUUAAUAAUGUUUUUUAAGAAAAAUAUUUUUUUUUUAAUCUUUGUGUAGUAAGUCAAAACGAAGAGAGUAUAUAGAUGGAUGUGAUCAAUUCAUUUAUCACAGGUUGGUUUUAAUUUGAAGUGCAGCUGAAUUUAAAUUGAUGAAGGAAUGUAAAUGUAUUGAUGAUUUAGCUUUGUUUUUUAAUUUGUUUUAAAAAAAUAUGAAUCUCAGGAUCGGCUUUGUUGAUUAUUUCCACUAAUUUCAAGCUUAGAAACCGUUAAUCAGAUCAUCAUAUUAAAAAAACAAAACAAUUCGAAUUUUGAGUAAGGAACGAAGAAGAAACGUACUUCUCGUAUUUAACGGCGAGGUUAAGGAGAGCAAGCAGAGCCGCCUCGUGGUGCGAUUCAGGCGAGUCUAAUAACCUCAGCAUCGAAACUAGCGGCUCGACGGCCUGCGAAAAGUGUCGGCGGCACCUAUGCGACGUCUUCGUCAGCCGACGGAUCUCUCGAGCUGCGAACAGCCUCGAAUCCGGAUCCUCAGAUCGGAUCAAACCGAGGAUUCUCUGAAUCGAGGCGGAAGACGACGAGGAAGAAACAGAAACCGAAACCCCCGCGUGGAGCAGUUCGUGAUCUGCGUCUCCGCCGCGCGGAGAAUCGCAGUCGUGGCUCGUGUCGAUUGAUGAAACGGAGGAAGAGGAAGAGGAAGAAGGGACGGUGGAGGCGAGGUCCAUUUUGAGAGAGAGAAUGGACGAAAGAUCUGUUUUCAGAGAGACGUAUUGAGUAUGGCGUUAGCUAACAGUUACAUACUACGUGUGUAUAUAUAAUACACCAUGGGCAAUAUCUAUGUAGUAUUUAUUUAUAUUUUAAACUAUAGUUUUCUGUUAUUAUAAAAGGGCAUAUUGUAUGAAACAAAAUAUUUAUGAGAGAAGGGGUUUGGGAGACUUUUUAGGGAUGGCUUUAAUUUUCCUAGUUUUAUUUGUUGAAAAUUAGAUAUUUUUGAACAUGUGUGAUGUAGAUGGGUCAAAGUCUCAAAGAUUGACUAUGAGAUUUUGUGCUAUAUUUUAUUAUACUAAAGUUUGGUUCUCCACAAUGUUAAGAUCAGUUACCAACCAUUCUUUGUUACACUGUCUUUAUCUUAAUGUAUAGAUAUAUUUGGCUAAGUAAUCUAAAGGCUAUAAAAGGGAGAGCUAAAACAAAUUUUUUAUGUUACAGUUUUAUAGCUUCUUUAUAGAGUCUGAUGAAGAUAUAUUUAUCUAAGGAUAUUUAAAAAAUAUCAUCACACUUGGCACAAUUCAUAUAAAUAUAUAACUGUAUUUUAUAAUUUACCUGAAAUGCUAAUUUCAUUAUUUUAUUAAUUCACUUCAGUAAAUCAUUAUAUUGAUUUUUGGGUAUUUAAUAUUUAUUAUCAAGAAUUAGAGAUGGGCUUGAGCAAUAUAAAUUAUUGUCUAUAACUAAAGCCUUUCCUUUACCAUUUCAGGCCACACUAAAACACAAACCAGAUAAUCAAAUAUCUAAUUAUUGUCUACAAGUCUAUAACCAAAGCCCUUUACCAUUACAUGAAAUGAAAUGAAAAAGUAACAUACAUAAUCUGAUAAUCAAUGAUUGUCAUUACAAAAAACAAGGGAACAAAUUAAAUAUGAUCAAAACAUCACAUGAAUAUAGAUUUAAAUUUUGGCUUAGAAAAUCUUGGCUACAUCUUUCAUGAGACCACGGUUAGCCUUUGCGAAAUCAGAAAACUCUUGGUACGAUAUGAAUCCAUCACCAUCGGUAUCAAUCUCAGCCAUCAUACGCUUAAUGUCAUCGUGCGUGACCGAGCCAAGGUUCUUGAGAGCAUCUCCAAGCUCAGUGGAAGAGAUAGUUCCAUCUCCAUUAGCAUCAAACUUCUUGAAAACACGGUCGUGCUCAGCUUUUUCUGUUGCGUCAGCCAUUCUUUUAUAGGGGGUUGUGUUCUUUUUGAUCGUGAGAGUUAUUAUAUAAAGAGAUUUUGAAAGUGAAGAAAGCAGAGGCUAUGCUUUAAACUAGGCGAUCUAAGGAGUAAACUGAAGUUACUAAAAAUAGACUUUGACUCGGUCUUUUCAUUAACCGAACUUUGUAUUCUGAACGAUACAAUGCAAAAAAAUGAACGGCUAAAUCCAACGGUUUCGCCAGCUUUAUAUCGAUCUCAAAGAUCAUAACUUUGAAGCAGAAGUCAAAGAGAUGUAUUACCUUCAGGGAGCUCUGUCAAAAGGCUUAGUGUCAUUGUAACAAGUAUCCCACAUUGCUUCCAUGGCGUCUUUCGCUGCUACUUCCGAGCAAUAUGGGUUGCCGCGAAGCGAUUUCAGCACUCUUCUUUUUAUACAUUCCUUUGGUUAAAAAAAAUCAAGAAUCAGUUUAUAUAUUAACAAGAACCAUCCAUGAUAACACAAGUGUUUAUGUGAACUAAAAGCUAUAGCGACUUACUUGUUCAUGGCCUCUUAACUUAAUGAAACCCCUCAAUAGUUCUCUCUUGAAAUGGCAAUCGCCGCUUAAAUGACCUGCACGUAUCUGUUUAAAGAAUACAUUAAGAAUCUCAAACCAAAGUAUAUGUUUAAGAGCUUUAGGCUAACAAACGUAAUGACCUCGCUGCAAGCAUGAUGAGCACAGUUAGUCCAAUCCAGAUUCUUGGCGCGGCACUCGUCGUAAGCAUGGAUUAACUCAUGUAUAACCACUUGGUUCACUUCAUCUUGAAUGGUCAAAUAGUUACUGCACACAGUGAUCUUCAAACAAACAAAAGAAACUGAGCAUCAUCAACACAUUAACAAUAAUCAGAAGCAUUGUAGAGCAGUGUUUACCCCUCUUCCUUUAGUGAAGCCACCAGCUACAGGACCAGUACACACAACCGCCUUGACGAAGUUAUCACCAACUCUGCACCCUGAUUUCUCCAUUUGUUCCAUCAGAAACUUCACAAUCGGAUCUAAUCAAACAAAACGAAACGAAACUAGUUUCAAUACACAGAGAUUGCUAAACCGUAAACCCUAGAACAACCAAUGGAUUCAAGAUUGAGGGAAAAUAUACUUCGGAAACUUCGCUGAAUCAUGUCUUGGCACUCUUCGAUAGAUUUACCGCGCUUUCCUCCGAGGUUCAAAUCGGAGCCUGAGUUAGGAGCGGCGGCGUCUUCCAUUUCCGAUAUCUCGAAGCCGGAGAUUCCCAACGCGAGUGUGGCGGCUUGUGAUCGGAGACGGAGAGAAAAUGAGACGGAAGGGUAAAUGUGUCAAUUAUCAUUAGCAUCCUUCCCUCCCUUUCUAUCUAUCAAACGGUUAACGUAUUCAAUUCGGUUUGUCAAACCAUCGUCUCAGACCGGGUUUAAUUUUGAUCUGUUAAAACUGAUGAUGGGCUAUUUGAUAUCUUAAAGAGCCGGCCUGAUACAAACCCAACAUAGUGAAUCAAUGAAUCCUAUAUUUAGAAGAAGAGCAAUUUGAAUAUGAAUCUGUCUGAUAUAUUUGAGAAAUUUGACAAGAACAAAGACGGUAAGAUCUUAUGUGAAGAGUUUCGUGAUGCUGUUCAUGCUCUCUCUCCGACCAUUCCCUCAGAUAAACUCGUCGAGAUGUUCAACCAGCUUGACACGAACGGUGAUGGCCAGGUCGAUGCGGCUGAGUUUGCUUCGUGCAUGGACCAAACCGCUGGGUCUAAGUAACGGUAACUUUGGAAAAGGAGAUGAAGGAGUUGUUUAAAUUAUGUGAUAUUGAUUGUCAUGGGUAAAUAUCAGCGAAUGAGUUAUAUGUGGUGAUGACUGGGCUUGGGGAGAAGUGUACGGUCGAGAGCUGCGUGGAGAUGGUUCAAGCCAUUGAUGCCGAUGGUGAUGGUUAUAUUAGCUUUGAGGAGUUUAAGACUUUGUAUUCAAUUCUAAGGACUUGAAGCCUAGAUAUUGCUCACUGUAAUAAUGUUUCAAUUGCUGAGGCGUUUGGUUAAAUGAUUUGAUUUCACAAGAAUUAUUCAAUUUCAAAACAAAAGAUGAUUGCACCAUUUAGACAUAAACAUGAAUUAGGGCAUGGAAAGUUUAAAUUUGAUCAAUUUUAAACUGGAUGUAAAAUCCUUAUUGCUUAGUUUUUUUUACUGUAAAUUGUGACAGUUCUUCUAGUAAUGUUAUAUAAUGAAGGUUUUGAGUAUAAACUCGAUAAAAAUACAACAAAGUUGGAGUAUGCAUAUGAGAAAAGACCGUAAGAGCUUUUCAAAGAAAUGGAUCAACUAAAGAGGCUUUUUACUUCAAGGCUUUCAAUAU